Molecule: long non-coding RNA, 92 nt
Organism: Sander lucioperca (pikeperch)
Lineage: Eukaryota; Metazoa; Chordata; Actinopteri; Perciformes; Percidae
Exons: 3
Source: RefSeq, a predicted model, not a curated record
AAAGUCAGCAAAGACAUGCAAGUUGAUUUCCUGAUCCUGAUAAGGGACUAAUCGCCACAUGCCAUCACCGUCCAACAUAACUCACAUAAAGC